Molecule: ribosomal RNA, 837 nt
Filed under: Olea europaea subsp. europaea
Lineage: Eukaryota; Viridiplantae; Streptophyta; Magnoliopsida; Lamiales; Oleaceae
Description: LSU_rRNA_archaea
Rfam family: Eukaryotic large subunit ribosomal RNA
Source: RNAcentral
AAUCAGCAGGGAAAGAAGACCUUGUUGAGCUUAACUCUAGUCUGACUUUAUGAAAUGACUUCAGAGGUGUAGGAUAAGUGGGAGCCAAAAGGCAAAAGUAAAAUACCACCACUUUUAACAUUAUUUUACUUAUUUCGUAAAUUGGAGGCAGGGCACUGUUCCUCUUUUUGGACCCAAGGCUCACUUUGUGGGCUUAUCCGAGCUAAACACAUUGUCGAUGAGGAGUUUGGCUGAGGCGGCACAUUUGUUAAAAGAUAAUGUAGGUGUCCUAAAAUGAGCUCAACGAGAAAAAAAAUUUCGUGUGGAAUAGAAGAGUAAAAGCUCUUUUGAUUCUGAUUUACAGUACGAAUACGAACUGUGAAAGUUUCGCCUAAUGAUCCUUUAGACCUUUGAAAUUUGAAGCUAGAGGUGUCAAAAAAGUUACCACAGGGAUAACUAGUUUGUGGCAGCCAAGCGUUCAUAACAUGUUGCUUUUUGAUCCUUCGAUGUCGGCUCUUCCUAUCAUUGUUAAGCAAAAUUCACCAAGUGUCAGAUUGUUCACCCACCAAUAGGAAACGUGAGCUGGAUUAUGACUAAAUGUCGACAGGCUAGUUUUAUCCUAUUGAUGAUAGUGUCACAGUAGUAAUUCAACCUAGUAUGAGAGAAACCAUUGAUUCACACAAUUUGUCAUCGCGCUUGGUUGAAAAACCAGUGGCGUGAAGCUACCAUGCACUGGUUUAUGACUGAAUGACUCUAAGUUGGAAUUCGGGCUAGAAGCGAUGCGCGCAUCCGCCAUUCACUUGUUGACCCACAGUAGGGGCCUCACGGCCCCAGGGGCACAUGUCGUUGGCAAAGCCC